This 447-nucleotide ribosomal RNA is filed under the name Pectenocypris korthausae. RNAcentral's name for it is "partial 16S ribosomal RNA". It matches the Rfam family "Bacterial large subunit ribosomal RNA", at positions 1923 to 2541 of the family's 2925-position model. The record is from RNAcentral. Lineage: Eukaryota; Metazoa; Chordata; Actinopteri; Cypriniformes; Danionidae.
UUAAACGGCCGCGGUAUUUUAACCGUGCAAAGGUAGCGUAAUCACUCGUUCCUUAAAUAGGAACCCGUAUGAAUGGUUAGACGAGGGCUUGACUGUCUCCCUUUUCCAGUCAGUGAAAUUGAUCUAUCCGUGCAGAAGCGGAUAUAAGAAUACAAGACGAGAAGACCCUUUGGAGCUUAAGGUCCAAGACUCAAUCAUUUUAACACAGAUUAACCAUGAAAACUGAGACUUUACCUUCGGUUGGGGUGACCACGGAAAAAACUAACAUCCGACUGGAUUGAAUAAUAUUCAAAACCAAGAAGGACACUUCUAAGUAACAGAACAUCUGACCAAAUAUGACCCGGCCAUAAGCCGACCAACGAACCAAGUUACCCAAGGGAUAACAGCGCAAUCCUCUUCUAGAGCCCCUAUCGACAAGAGGGUUUACGACCUCGAUGUUGGAUCAGG